RNAcentral lists this ribosomal RNA (508 nucleotides) under uncultured bacterium. RNAcentral describes it as "partial 16S ribosomal RNA". It matches the Rfam family "Bacterial small subunit ribosomal RNA", at positions 28 to 507 of the family's 1533-position model. The record is from RNAcentral.
GACGAACGCUGGCGGCGUGCCUAAUACAUGCAAGUCGAACGCUUCUUUCCUCCCGAGUGCUUGCCCUCCAUUGGAAAGAGGAGUGGCGGACGGGUGAGUAACACGUGGGUAACCUACCCAUCAGAGGGGGAUAACACUUGGAAACAGGUGCUAAUACCGCAUAACAGUUUAUGCCGCAUGGCAUAAGAGUGAAAGGCGCUUUCGGGUGUCGUUGAUGGAUGGACCCGCGGUGCAUUAGCUAGUUGGUGAGGUAACGGCUCACCAAGGCCACGAUGCAUAGCCGACCUGAGAGGGUGAUCGGCCACACUGGGACUGAGACACGGCCCAGACUCCUACGGGAGGCAGCAGUAGGGAAUCUUCGGCAAUGGACGAAAGUCUGACCGAGCAACGCCGCGUGAGUGAAGAAGGUUUUCGGAUCGUAAAACUCUGUUGUUAGAGAAGAACAAGGACGUUAGUAACUGAACGUCCCCUGACGGUAUCUAACCAGAAAGCCACGGCUAACUACGUG